Molecule: long non-coding RNA, 1130 nt
Organism: Mastomys coucha (southern multimammate mouse)
Lineage: Eukaryota; Metazoa; Chordata; Mammalia; Rodentia; Muridae
Exons: 4
Source: RefSeq, a predicted model, not a curated record
GCCUCUAGAGGUCAAAGGGCUCCUGGCCAGCAAGGACACUAGCAAGACCCAGCUACAAGUACUACUCACUAUAGACCUUCUUCCCAUUUGGCCUGGAAGUAACAACAACAGCAUCUAAGGAAUUAGAGGAGCAAGGGUGUGGGGCGGGGACAGAGACAUGGGCAGAGUUGGGAGGGAGGGUGAACAGAUACAUUGUUUGAAACAGACUUUAAAAAGGUGAUCUUGUGGGGAAGGAGAGGUGGCUCAGCAGCUGAGAGCACGGGCUGCUCACUCCAAUGAUGACUCACAACCACCUGUAUCCCAGCUCCAGGGAAUCUGAGCCCUCUUGUGAUCUCCAUGGGCUUCUCAUGUACCUGAAGAGGCCAGAAGAGGGGGGGCUGAAUCCCCUAUAGCCAGAUUACAAUGUUGAGAGCUUCCUGACACAAGUGCUGGGACUCUGCAAGAACAACAAACCCCCUUAACCACUGAGCCGUCUGUCCAGUCCCAAAGCCAUGAAAUGCUCUGCUCUCUUCUCUUUUCCUUGCUGUACCCCGGGGUUGGAGGAACACAGGCCUCCCGAGGUCCCAGGAUUCAGCCUUACUGGACUACCAUCUCUUUCCAAAGGCAGGGCAUGGGGACCAGGAAUGAGAGCAGCCCCAGUUACAGCAGCAAAAGAUGGCUGAACAGAGCUAGGCAAGCCUGUAACUGUGGCCUCCGGGAAGCAGAAACAGAAGACCUGUAAGUUCAAGGCCAGAAAAUAAGAAAGAAUAAAGAAAGAAUAACCCACAUCGAUAAGGACCUGGUUACAGAAACUGUAACCACGAGACACUAUCCAGCAAACAAGAACCACAGCAACACGCAUCCCCACGGGCCGCAGGCGCUGUGCUGACCUUCCUGCAAGUUUCCUCUGUUCAUUUUCUGUUAUGAAAAUAAAUUACAAAGCCAGUCUAGGUUACAUAGUGAGUUCCAGGCUAUCCAGACUGGCAUGGUCUCAAUUAGUAAGUAAGUAAGUAAGUAAGUAAGUAAAUAAAUAAAUAAAUAAAAGUGAAAAACUAAAAUGCACUUUUAAAGAUGUUUCUAAGGGAGAGCAGACAGGAUGGAGCUGCAACUCAGAGCUCUUGGCUGGUACUUGUGAGAACUUUAUUUCAAUC